AGUGAACGCUGGCGGUAGGCCUAACACAUGCAAGUCGAACGGCAGCACAGUAAGAGCUUGCUCUUACGGGUGGCGAGUGGCGGACGGGUGAGGAAUACAUCGGAAUCUACUUUUUCGUGGGGGAUAACGUAGGGAAACUUACGCUAAUACCGCAUACGACCUACGGGUGAAAGCAGGGGAUCUUCGGACCUUGCGCGAUUGAAUGAGCCGAUGUCGGAUUAGCUAGUUGGCGGGGUAAAGGCCCACCAAGGCGACGAUCCGUAGCUGGUCUGAGUGGAUGGUCAGCCACACUGGAACUGAGACACGGUCCAGACUCCUACGGGAGGCAGCAGUGGGGAAUAUUGGACAAUGGGCGCAAGCCUGAUCCAGCCAUACCGCGUGGGUGAAGAAGGCCUUCGGGUUGUAAAGCCCUUUUGUUGGGAAAGAAAAGCAGCAGGUUAAUACCCCGCUGUUCUGACGGUACCCAAAGAAUAAGCACCGGCUAACUUCGUG
This 492-nucleotide ribosomal RNA is filed under the name uncultured bacterium. RNAcentral's name for it is "partial 16S ribosomal RNA". It matches the Rfam family "Bacterial small subunit ribosomal RNA", at positions 29 to 507 of the family's 1533-position model. The record is from RNAcentral.